GUGCUUGCUUAAGCAGCACACAUACUAAAAUUGGGAAGGUACAGAGAUUAGCAUGGCUUCUGCGCAAGGAUCACACACAAAUUUGUGAAGCGUUCCAUAUUUUU
This is a small nuclear RNA of Eptesicus fuscus (big brown bat), 104 nucleotides long. The record is from RefSeq and is a predicted model, not a curated record. Lineage: Eukaryota; Metazoa; Chordata; Mammalia; Chiroptera; Vespertilionidae.